CCUACGGGUGGCAGCAGUGAGGAAUAUUGGUCAAUGGACGAGAGUCUGAACCAGCCAAGUAGCGUGAAGGAUGACUGCCCUAUGGGUUGUAAACUUCUUUUAUAUGGGAAUAAAACGUUCCACGUGUGGGAUUUUGUAAGUACCAGAUGAAUAAGGAUCGGCUAACUCCGUGCCAGCAGCCGCGGUAAUACGGAGGAUCCGAGCGUUAUCCGGAUUUAUUGGGUUUAAAGGGAGCGUAGGUGGAUUGUUAAGUCAGUUGUGAAAGUUUGGGGCUCAACCGUAAAAUUGCAGUUGAAACUGGCAGUCUUGAGUACACGAGAGGUACGCGGAAUUCGUGGUGUAGCGGUGAAAUGCUUAGAUAUCACGAAGAACUCCGAUUGCGAAGGCAGUUCACUGGACUGCAACUGACACUGAGGCUCGAAAGUGUGGGUAUCAAACAGGAGUAGAUACCCUGGUAGUC
RNAcentral lists this ribosomal RNA (460 nucleotides) under uncultured bacterium. RNAcentral describes it as "partial 16S ribosomal RNA". It matches the Rfam family "Bacterial small subunit ribosomal RNA", at positions 338 to 795 of the family's 1533-position model. The record is from RNAcentral.